Molecule: unclassified non-coding RNA, 279 nt
Filed under: Hevea brasiliensis (rubber tree)
Lineage: Eukaryota; Viridiplantae; Streptophyta; Magnoliopsida; Malpighiales; Euphorbiaceae
Source: RNAcentral
AUCGUCUGUUAUCUGCUCGUCACAAAUCUGAUGCGGACGCGCGAUGGACGCGCGCUGGUUGCGGUGCGCGAUCACUAUCUGUCCGCCGAAAUCAUGGGCAUCAACCUCACCAAAUACCGAACNNNNNNNNNACUUUCAUUCGGAUUGGCUGCAUUCUUCGCCGGCGUCGGCGGCGCGCUCUACGCCCACUACAAUCAGGUUGUUUCCAACGAAGGCUUCGGCAUCGACCGCUCCAUCAUCUUCCUCGCCAUGAUCAUCAUCGGCGGCAUCGGCUCCCCC